This 470-nucleotide ribosomal RNA is filed under the name Clostridioides difficile. RNAcentral describes it as "partial 23S ribosomal RNA". It matches the Rfam family "Bacterial large subunit ribosomal RNA", at positions 2453 to 2925 of the family's 2925-position model. The record is from RNAcentral. Lineage: Bacteria; Bacillati; Bacillota; Clostridia; Peptostreptococcales; Peptostreptococcaceae.
CGGAUAAAAGCUACCCUGGGGAUAACAGGCUUAUCUCCCCCAAGAGUCCACAUCGACGGGGAGGUUUGGCACCUCGAUGUCGGCUCAUCACAUCCUGGGGCUGUAGUAGGUCCCAAGGGUUGGGCUGUUCGCCCAUUAAAGUGGUACGCGAGCUGGGUUCAGAACGUCGUGAGACAGUUCGGUCCCUAUCCGUCGCAGGCGUAGGAAAUUUGAGAAGACCUGUCCUUAGUACGAGAGGACCGGGAUGGACGUACCUCUGGUGUACCAGUUGUCCUGCCAAGGGCAUGGCUGGGUAGCUAUGUACGGAAUGGAUAAGCGCUGAAAGCAUCUAAGCGCGAAGCCAACUUCAAGAUAAGAUUUCCCACCGCAAGGGUAAGACCCCAGAAAGACUAUCUGGUUGAUAGGUCGAAGGUGUAAGUGCAGCAAUGUAUUUAGCUUAUCGAUACUAAUAGGUCGAGGACUUGACCAAU